AUUGAACGCUGGCGGCAUGCCUAACACAUGCAAGUCGAGCGGCUGCAGGGAGCUUGCUCCUGGAUCCAGCGGCGGACGGGUGAGUAAUGCCUAGGAAUCUGCCCGGUAGUGGGGGAUAACGUCCGGAAACGGGGGCUAAUACCGCAUACGUCCUGAGGGAGAAAGUGGGGGAUCUUCGGACCUCACGCUAUCAGAUGAGCCUAGGUCGGAUUAGCUAGUUGGUGGGGUAAAGGCCUACCAAGGCGACGAUCCGUAACUGGUCUGAGAGGAUGAUCAGUCACACUGGAACUGAGACACGGCCCAGACUCCUACGGGAGGCAGCAGUGGGGAAUAUUGGACAAUGGGCGAAAGCCUGAUCCAGCAAUGCCGCGUGUGUGAUGAAGGUCUUCGGAUUGUAAAGCACUUUUAGUGGGGAGGAAAAGCAGUAUGUUAAUACCUUGCUGUGAUGACGGUACCAGCAGAAUAAGCACCGGCUAACUACGUG
Molecule: ribosomal RNA, 484 nt
Filed under: uncultured bacterium
Lineage: Bacteria
Description: partial 16S ribosomal RNA
Rfam family: Bacterial small subunit ribosomal RNA
Source: RNAcentral